UUCUGCACUAUUUUCUGCUGCCAGUGAAGAAGGAUGUGUUUGUGUCUUCUGCUCUGAUUGUAUGCUCCCUGAGUCCCUCCAGCUAUGCUGAACUUCUGGAUAUCUCCCAUUUCUUUAUCUGCCCUAAUUAAAUUGGUCAAAGUAUCCAGCACAGCAGUAGAUGGAAACAUGGAAGUGAAUAUUCUUGUCUUGUCCCUGAUCUUAAGAGGAAAGUGUUCCGUCUUUCGCCAUUAGGACCCCUUGGCAUGAUUACCUCUGGAGAACCACAGCAUGAACAAGAUUAUGGAGAAAGGAAUCAGCGGUGUGAUGUGGGGAGCAAUGAGAAACCCUGUGCUGUGAAGGCUCGCAUGCCAAAUAGAGAAAGUUCCCUUGGAAGAAUGACUGCAGUGCUACAACAAUGUAACUGCAUGACAAAUCAUAAAGUUCCUGGUGUGGCUUCGCAUAAUUAAUAGCAUACAGAGAGGCCAUACUUCCCACCAUCGGCAUCCUCCAACCUUGGCAACCAAUGGCUGACACAGAGGUCUCAAAGCCUGACUCCCUUGGCUCAAAGAGACACGAUUCUGGUAUGACCUUAAUGCUCCCGAACUCCCAGUAGGGUUAGGCUGAGGCUAGAUGUCAAUAAAAAUUACACCUUUGCUUGGGUUCUUCCUCUACCUGUCCUUUGCUUGCCAUUCUGCAGGCUUCUCCUGAGAACACUCCCUGAAUGAAUCCUUUGCCCAG
This 720-nucleotide long non-coding RNA is filed under the name Callithrix jacchus (white-tufted-ear marmoset). Its description in RNAcentral is "lncRNA (ENSCJAG00000071866.1)". The record is from RNAcentral. Lineage: Eukaryota; Metazoa; Chordata; Mammalia; Primates; Cebidae.